This 973-nucleotide long non-coding RNA is filed under the name Hordeum vulgare. RNAcentral describes it as "long non-coding RNA (HVUL_LNC011699)". Lineage: Eukaryota; Viridiplantae; Streptophyta; Magnoliopsida; Poales; Poaceae. The record is from RNAcentral.
UGGAUCAAAUAUAUAUUAUCGACAAUCGAAGAGAGUUUUUACGGUACCUUGUACUGCUGUGAUGGGGUGAGCAGUAUAAGUUAAAUCUGGCCGUCAAUUUUUCAGGGCACUAUUGAUUUUUUCACCUACAACUAAAACUUUUACAAGAAUGAUGCUACGGUGGCUGCCUGCGCUCGUUCGUAGCUAUUCGUCGUCCGGACUACGCAGUUUCCACUUCCGUCGCCGCUCCUCUUCUUCCCUCUUGGCCAACCCGUCCAUCAUCAGCUCUGGAUAACAAUGGCAUCGAUUAACUCAAGGCAUUUGGAAGUAUGCUGCACUGUUGUUAAUCAUACUUUCCACAAGUGAGAAAGCCAGUAGAACUCGGGUCAAGAAAAUGGAAUGAAAUCAGCUUUGUCAUAUUAGGCUUCUAGGUUGAACUAAUGUAGAGAAUCCUUGUAUCAGAAAAUAUGACGUGCACAUGCUCGUCUCUCCACCAUGGCUGCCAUAGCUUGACGUUGGGGCCGGAGGAGCUGCUUCGAUCCACUUCUGUAACUAGGUGGUUAAUCAUGUGUCGAACGUGCAGAAUGCCAUGAGGGUCACACUGAGUCCCAAAUGGACGCGGCCGACAUUGGCGGUUGGACGGAUCCAGAUCGUGCGGGAUUUAGUUGACAUAUUUAUCUUACGAUUUUGGCCCCAAAGCCCGUAUACUGCUCAGUUGUUCAGGUUAUGGUCACACAUAUACUGCUCACGUGAACUAGCAGUAUAGAUUACUCCCCACCAUUAGAUCAAGAGAAAUAAACGGUCUAUAUUUAUCACAGGGUACCGUAAAAGAAGUACUAAUUUGGACCUGUUGGUUGCUGCAGGUGGUAAGGAUGAGGUGGGUGCCGAGGAGAAGUUGGAGCAUCACCGUCGCCGCACCUACGGCCAUUGGUGCCACGGAAGGAUUAUGCUCAGAUACACACGCCGGCUUUUUGUUGUGCAAUGGUAACCUAUA